This 505-nucleotide ribosomal RNA is filed under the name uncultured bacterium. Its description in RNAcentral is "bacterial SSU rRNA". It matches the Rfam family "Bacterial small subunit ribosomal RNA", at positions 28 to 531 of the family's 1533-position model. The record is from RNAcentral.
GAUGAACGCUAGCGGGAGGCCUAACACAUGCAAGCCGAGCGGUAUUGUUUCUUCGGAAAUGAGAGAGCGGCGUACGGGUGCGGAACACGUGUGCAACCUGCCUUUAUCUGGGGGAUAGCCUUUCGAAAGGAAGAUUAAUACUCCAUAACAUAUUGAACGGCAUCGUUUGAUAUUGAAAGCUCCGGCGGAUAGAGAUGGGCACGCGCAAGAUUAGCUAGUUGGUGAGGUAACGGCUCACCAAGGCGAUGAUCUUUAGGGGGCCUGAGAGGGUGAUCCCCACACUGGUACUGAGACACGGACCAGACUCCUACGGGAGGCAGCAGUGAGGAAUAUUGGUCAAUGGGUGCAAGCCUGAACCAGCCAUCCCGCGUGAAGGACGACUGCCCUAUCGGGUUGUAAACUUCUUUUGUAUAGGGAUAAACCUACCUCGUGAGGGUAGCUGAAGGUACUAUACGAAUAAGCACCGGCUAACUCCGUGCCAGCAGCCGACGGUAAACUGUCUACG